Molecule: small nuclear RNA, 96 nt
Filed under: Brassica napus (rape)
Lineage: Eukaryota; Viridiplantae; Streptophyta; Magnoliopsida; Brassicales; Brassicaceae
Source: RNAcentral
GUCCCUUCGGGGACGUCCGAUAAAAUUAGAACGAUACAGGAAAGAUUAGCAUGGCCCUUGAUGACACGCACAAAUUAAGAAAUGGUCCAAAUUUUU